RNAcentral lists this transfer RNA (68 nucleotides) under Marmota monax (woodchuck). RNAcentral's name for it is "tRNA.Ala". Lineage: Eukaryota; Metazoa; Chordata; Mammalia; Rodentia; Sciuridae. The record is from RNAcentral.
GGAUUGUGGCUCAGAGGUAGAGCACUUGCCUAGCAUGUGCAAGGCCCUGGGUUCGAUCCUCAGCACCA